This 447-nucleotide long non-coding RNA is filed under the name Olea europaea (common olive). RNAcentral's name for it is "long non-coding RNA (OEUR_LNC012749)". Lineage: Eukaryota; Viridiplantae; Streptophyta; Magnoliopsida; Lamiales; Oleaceae. The record is from RNAcentral.
AUAAAGGAAAACUAUUCAAAUGCUGCAGUAAAAAAUGUGGUUUUUGGGAGUGGGUUAGAGAAGAAGAAUCAAGCGGUGAAUCAAGUGGCGUCGAUAGCUCGACAAAUCCUGCGUCCGAAGAAUCAAUGUCAGAUUUGUCCCGCAAGUUUCAAUAUCAAAUUCAGCUAACGAGGAAGAAGUCUAGAUUUCGAUGAACAUGAAUAUGACAAUCCGCAAGGGCAAAGCAACUAUGGAGAAGUCUGAAAAAUAGAAGUGGUCAACUUCAUUUGUAGUCCCCAUAUUUAAUAAACAUUGACGUUAUGUAUGUUUGUAGUCAUAUGACUCCUUUGUAGCGAAAUUUGUGCUGGACUUGGUUUGUAAUAAAUUAGACACUAUUCGAAUCUUGAUGCUAUAUAUGUUUCAGUCAUUUGAUGUCUACCUACCUUGCACUGAAAUUAAUAAUUUUGG